This 507-nucleotide ribosomal RNA is filed under the name uncultured marine eukaryote. RNAcentral's name for it is "SSU rRNA". It matches the Rfam family "Eukaryotic small subunit ribosomal RNA", at positions 621 to 1144 of the family's 1831-position model. The record is from RNAcentral.
AAAAAGCUCGUAGUUGGAUUUCUGGCGGGCGUCCGUCAUCCCCUGGUGGGUGAUGCUCGGGCCCGGCCAUCCUUCUGUCAACUUUCGCCCGUCCUUUACUGGUCGGCAGAGGGAUCAGAUAAUUUACCUUGAGAAAAUUAGAGUGUUUCAGGCAGGCUUAGCCGGAAUACAUUAGCAUGGAAUAAUGGAAUAGGACUGAGGUCUCGUUGUUGGUUACGCGGACUACAGUAAUGAUUAAUAGGGACAGUUGGGGGCAUUAGUAUUUAUUAGCUAGAGGUGGAAUUCUCUAAUUUGAUAAAGACUAACUUAUGCGAAAGCAUUUGCCAAGGAUGUUUUCAUUAAUCAAGAACGAAAGUUAGGGGAUCAAAAGACGAUCAGAUACCGUCCUAGUCUUAACCAUAAACUAUGCCGACUCGGGAUCGGGAGCGUGUGUUAUCCGCUUUCGGCACCGUAUGAGAAAUCAAAGUCUUUGGGUUCUAGGGGGAGUAUGGUCGCAAGGCUGAAACU